RNAcentral lists this long non-coding RNA (576 nucleotides) under Coffea arabica (coffee). Its description in RNAcentral is "long non-coding RNA (CARA_LNC005628)". Lineage: Eukaryota; Viridiplantae; Streptophyta; Magnoliopsida; Gentianales; Rubiaceae. The record is from RNAcentral.
UGCAUUCAUAUAGUCAUAUCCAACGUGCGAACAUAUAUUGGGUAGAAAAUUAGGAAAGGUAAGGUUAAGUCGCGCAACUAGCCUUGGCUAGGUCAAAGGGGUGCCUUGGAUUCUAUCCUUGCCUUCCCCUUUGUCAAACGUGACCCCCGAACCUUUUUCUUUGGCUUACGUGGACUAGGAGUCGUUUUAAAAAGGGUUUUACUACUUUGUCUUUAAAAAACAUUUUUUUUUUUUUUUGGGUGACUUGGUACACCCUAACUCUAUACCAAGUGGCGACUCCAUUUUUGAUACAAAAAACCCUUUUGAACUUCACUUGGCCAAAUCGUCGCAUUCUAAGUCCCAUGGCCUUUUACUUUUUCAUUUUGCACACGUUCACACAUUACACACCACACAUCAUCACUCAAUCGAAUCGAAAAGUGGGGCGCGACAGUUGGCGACUCCACUGGGGACUCCCUAAGUGGGUCCGAGCAUUUGACUUAGCCAUUCGUUUCCUUUUUCUACCCUUUUUAUGCAUUGCAUUUGGAUAUUAGGGUUGCAUUUUUUGUUUUAGGACUUUUUCGCAUCGCGCGCGUAUCA